Molecule: ribosomal RNA, 367 nt
Filed under: uncultured bacterium
Lineage: Bacteria
Description: bacterial SSU rRNA
Rfam family: Bacterial small subunit ribosomal RNA
Source: RNAcentral
GACGAACGCUGGCGGCGUGCUUAACACAUGCAAGUCGAGCGGUAAGGCCCUUUCGGGGUACACGAGCGGCGAACGGGUGAGUAACACGUGGGUGACCUGCCCUCAGCUCUGGGAUAAGCCCGGGAAACUGGGUCUAAUACCGGAUAUGACUCCACGGUGCAUGUCGUGGGGUGGAAAGCCUUGUGCGGCUGAGGAUGGGCCCGCGGCCUAUCAGCUUGUUGGUGGGGUGAUGGCCACCAAGGCGACGACGGGUAGCCGGCCUGAGAGGGCGACCGGCCACACUGGGACUGAGACACGGCCCAGACUCCUACGGGAGGCAGCAGUGGGGAAUCUUGCGCAAUGGGCGAAAGCCUGACGCAGCGACGCC